RNAcentral lists this ribosomal RNA (468 nucleotides) under uncultured bacterium. RNAcentral's name for it is "partial 16S ribosomal RNA". It matches the Rfam family "Bacterial small subunit ribosomal RNA", at positions 28 to 507 of the family's 1533-position model. The record is from RNAcentral.
GACGAACGCUGGCGGCGUGCUUAACACAUGCAAGUCGAACGGAAAGGCCCUGCUUUUGUGGGGUGCUCGAGUGGCGAACGGGUGAGUAACACGUGAGUAACCUGCCCUUGACUUUGGGAUAACUUCAGGAAACUGGGGCUAAUACCGGAUAGGAGCUCCUGCUGCAUGGUGGGGGUUGGAAAGUUUCGGCGGUUGGGGAUGGACUCGCGGCUUAUCAGCUUGUUGGUGGGGAAGUGGCUUACCAAGGCUUUGACGGGUAGCCGGCCUGAGAGGGUGACCGGCCACAUUGGGACUGAGAUACGGCCCAGACUCCUACGGGAGGCAGCAGUGGUGAAUAUUGCACAAUGGGCGGAAGCCUGAUGCAGCAACGCCGCGUGCGGGAUGACGGCCUUCGGGUUGUAAACCGCUUUCGCCUGUGACGAAGCGUGAGUGACGGUAAUGGGUAAAGAAGCACCGGCUAACUACGUG